RNAcentral lists this transfer RNA (27 nucleotides) under Psalidoprocne petiti (Petit's sawwing). RNAcentral's name for it is "partial tRNA-Trp". The record is from RNAcentral. Lineage: Eukaryota; Metazoa; Chordata; Aves; Passeriformes; Hirundinidae.
GAAACUUAGGAUUACUUUAAACCGAAG